CGAUUUCAUCUGCCGUCUACCAAGCUUUUUCCUUUUCUCCGAACGUUCUCUCCUCUCAGUCCCUCGAACACCGCUGCUCUCGCCGUUGACUUCCACCAUUGACCCCGACGCCGUCGUUUUCGCCUCGCCGUAAAAUUUCGGCGGAGAAGACAAUGGUGACGGAAGUUACGGAGACUAAGCGUUGGUGCGUCGUCACCGGUGGUAGAGGAUUCGCAGCGAGGCAUCUUGUGGAAAUGCUCAUACGUCACGAGAUUUUCCACGUCCGUAUCGCCGAUUUGGCUCCGGCGAUACAGCUUGAGCCUCACGAGGAGACUGGGCUUCUCGGUGAAUCAAUUAGAUCCGGUCGAGUUCAGUACGUUUCUGCUGAUCUUCGGAACAAAUCUCAAGUUGUCAAAGGUUUUGAGGGAGCAGAAGUGGUGUUUCAUAUGGCUGCUCCAGAUUCGUCGAUUAAUAAUCACCAGCUUCAUUACUCAGUUAAUGUUCAAGGGACGACAAAUGUAAUUGAUGCUUGUAUUGAGGUUGGAGUAAAGAGGCUAAUCUACACAAGCUCUCCGAGUGUCGUGUUUGACGGUGUCCAUGGUACUUUGAAUGCCGAUGAAUCAAUGCCGUAUCCACCUAAGCAUAAUGACUCGUAUUCAGCAACUAAAGCUGAAGGGGAAGCUUUGAUAUUAAAAGCGAAUGGAAGAAAUGGACUACUCACUUGUUGCAUACGUCCUAGCAGUAUAUUUGGUCCUGGUGAUAAAUUAAUGGUUCCAUCGCUUGUUACUGCUGCCAGAGCUGGGAAAUCCAAGUUCAUUAUAGGUGAUGGGAGUAACUUCUAUGAUUUCACUUAUGUUGAAAAUGUUGUGCACGCCCAUGUCUGCGCUGAGCGAGCACUAGCAUCAGAAGGAGAAGUAUGUGCAAAAGCUGCAGGCCAGGCAUACUUCAUUACGAACAUGGAGCCAAUUAAAUUUUGGGAGUUUAUGUCACAGCUUCUUGAAGGACUUGGCUAUGAGAGGCCGAGUAUAAAGAUACCUGCAAUGCUAAUGAUGCCAAUAGCACAUCUUGUGGAACUGGCAUAUAAAUUACUGGGACCAUAUGGAAUGAAAGUACCAGUGCUAACACCUUCUAGAGUUAGGUUACUCUCUUGCAACAGAACUUUUGAUUCUUCAAAAGCAAAGGAUCGUUUAGGCUAUGCUCCUGUUGUCCCACUUCAGGAAGGUAUAAAAAGGACAAUAGAUUCGUUCUCAUACUUGGCUGCUCAAAAUCAACCCAAAACAGAAGUUACUGAUACUACAAUUCAAUGGGAAAAGCAGACUCUCAUUGCCAUAGUCAUUCUGAUUACUCUCUAUCAUAACUUUGUUGCAACUGCGGGAUCUUCUUCCGUCAUAAUAACUGCUCUUUCCAAGGUUUUGUUGGUAUCAUCAAUCUUUUUAUUCAUCCAUGGCCUUUUACCAGAGAAAAUGAAAAUGUUUGGGAGCAAGAAGAGUAACUAAAGAAGACUCAAAACUUGAGCUCUCGCCUUUGCAUAAGUGUGUACACCUAUGAAUGUUCCUUGUUAAAAUCUUAGGAGAGGAAACUCGCAAAGGAAAAUAAAGAGCUGAAGGAGAAAGUGGCUUGGAAUGGGAGCAACAGUAGCAUCAUCACAAUCAACGUUCAUCAUCAUCAGAAGUGAACAUAGAUGACGAUGACAAUAUAUGGAAGUGGAGACUGGUUUGUUCAUUGGACCUCCUGAGACAAGACAACCCAAGAAAGUCCCUCCUCAAAUCUAGUCUCACCACUUCACAAUGAAUGUAUCAACAACUACCAACUAUUUCAUUUGCUGUAUAAUAUUUUCGUCCAAAAAGUCUGAGAUAUUCAAUAAUUUCUGAACAUAGUGUAUUAAUUUAUUCUUUCUCAAGCAGCUAAACUUAAAAAACAAAAA
Capsella rubella is the source of this 1903-nucleotide RNA transcript. It is a transcript of the gene named 3beta-hydroxysteroid-dehydrogenase/decarboxylase, with no coding region annotated. The transcript has 12 exons. NCBI's taxonomy places the organism in Eukaryota, Viridiplantae, Streptophyta, Magnoliopsida, Brassicales, Brassicaceae. The record is from RefSeq and is a predicted model, not a curated record.